This 650-nucleotide ribosomal RNA is filed under the name uncultured Alphaproteobacteria bacterium. RNAcentral's name for it is "bacterial SSU rRNA". It matches the Rfam family "Bacterial small subunit ribosomal RNA", at positions 77 to 763 of the family's 1533-position model. The record is from RNAcentral. Lineage: Bacteria; Pseudomonadati; Pseudomonadota; Alphaproteobacteria.
CCUUCGGGUGGUGGAAAGUGGCGGACGGGUGAGUAACGCGUGGGAACGUGCCUUUCGGUUCGGGAUAACCCAGGGAAACUUGGGCUAAUACCGGAUACGCCCUUCGGGGGAAAGAUUCAUUGCCGAAAGAUCGGCCCGCGUCGGAUUAGCUAGUUGGUGGGGUAAAAGCCUACCAAGGCGACGAUCCGUAGCUGGUCUGAGAGGAUGACCAGCCACACUGGGACUGAGACACGGCCCAGACUCCUACGGGAGGCAGCAGUGGGGAAUAUUGGACAAUGGGCGCAAGCCUGAUCCAGCCAUGCCGCGUGGGUGAAGAAGGCCCUAGGGUUGUAAACCCCUUUCAGCGGGGAAGAUAAUGACGGUACCCGCAGAAGAAGCCCCGGCUAACUCCGUGCCAGCAGCCGCGGUAAUACGGAGGGGGCUAGCGUUGUUCGGAAUUACUGGGCGUAAAGCGCGCGUAGGCGGACCUGCAAGUCGGGGGUGAAAGCCCGAGGCUCAACCUCGGAACUGUCUUCGAUACUGCGGGUCUCGAGUCCGGGAGAGGUGAGUGGAAUUCCUAGUGUAGAGGUGAAAUUCGUAGAUAUUAGGAAGAACACCAGUGGCGAAGGCGGCUCACUGGCCCGGUACUGACGCUGAGGCGCGAAAGCGUG